CCUACGGGAGGCAGCAGUGAGGAAUGUUGGACAAUGGACGAAAGUCUGAUCCAGCUAUGCCGCGUGCAGGAUGACGGCCCUAUGGGUUGUAAACUGCUUUUAUACAGGAAGAAAAACUCCGACGUGUCGGAACUUGACGGUACUGUAAGAAUAAGGAUCGGCUAACUCCGUGCCAGCAGCCGCGGUAAUACGGAGGAUCCAAGCGUUAUCCGGAAUCAUUGGGUUUAAAGGGUCCGUAGGCGGUUUUUUAAGUCAGAGGUGAAAUCCUGCAGCUCAACUGUAGAAUUGCCUUUGAUACUGAAAGACUUGAGUUAUUGUGAAGUGGUUAGAAUGUGUGGUGUAGCGGUGAAAUGCAUAGAUAUCACACAGAAUACCAAUUGCGAAGGCAGAUCACUAACAAUAUACUGACGCUCAGGGACGAAAGCGUGGGUAGCGAACAGGAUUAGAUACCCUGGUAGUCCACGCCGUAAACGAUGGAUACUAGCUGUAUGUCUACUUCAGGUAGAUGUGUGGCUAAGCGAAAGUGAUAAGUAUCCCACCUGGGGAGUACGAUCGCAAGAUUGAAACUCAAAGGAAUUGACGG
Molecule: ribosomal RNA, 583 nt
Filed under: uncultured bacterium
Lineage: Bacteria
Description: bacterial SSU rRNA
Rfam family: Bacterial small subunit ribosomal RNA
Source: RNAcentral